UACGGAGGGGGCAAGCGUUAUUCGGAAUUACUGGGCGUAAAGCGUGCGCAGGCGGUUUUGUAAGCCAGAUGUGAAAUCCCCGGGCUUAACCUGGGAAUGGCAUUUGGGACUGCAAGGCUUGAGUGCGGCAGAGGAGACUGGAAUUCCUGGUGUAGCAGUGAAAUGCGUAGAUAUCAGGAGGAACACCGAUGGCGAAGGCAGGUCUCUGGGCUGACACUGACGCUCAUGCACGAAAGCGUGGGGAGCAAACAGG
Molecule: ribosomal RNA, 253 nt
Filed under: uncultured bacterium
Lineage: Bacteria
Description: partial 16S ribosomal RNA
Rfam family: Bacterial small subunit ribosomal RNA
Source: RNAcentral